GACGAACGCUGGCGGCGUGCUUAACACAUGCAAGUCGAACGGAAAGGCCCUGCUUUUGUGGGGUGCUCGAGUGGCGAACGGGUGAGUAACACGUGAGUAACCUGCCCUUGACUUUGGGAUAACUUCAGGAAACUGGGGCUAAUACCGGAUAGGAGCUCCUGCUGCAUGGUGGGGGUUGGAAAGUUUCGGCGGUUGGGGAUGGACUCGCGGCUUAUCAGCUUGUUGGUGUGGUAGUGGCUUACCAAGGCUUUGACGGGUAGCCGGCCUGAGAGGGUGACCGGCCACAUUGGGACUGAGAUACGGCCCAGACUCCUACGGGAGGCAGCAGUGGGGAAUAUUGCACAAUGGGCGGAAGCCUGAUGCAGCAACGCCGCGUGCGGGAUGACGGCCUUCGGGUUGUAAACCGCUUUCGCCUGUGACGAAGCGUGAGUGACGGUAAUGAGUAAAGAAGCACCGGCUAACUACGUG
Molecule: ribosomal RNA, 468 nt
Filed under: uncultured bacterium
Lineage: Bacteria
Description: partial 16S ribosomal RNA
Rfam family: Bacterial small subunit ribosomal RNA
Source: RNAcentral